UACGUAGGGUGCGAGCAUUCAUCGGAAUUACUGGGCGUAAAGCGUGCGCAGGCGGUUCGUUGUGUCGGUGGUGAAAUCCCCGGGCUUAACCUGGGAAUGGCCAUGGAAACUGGCGAACUGGAGUGCGGCAGAGGGGGGUGGAAUUCCGCGUGUAGCAGUGAAAUGCGUAGAGAUGCGGAGGAACACCGAUGGCGAAGGCAGCCCCCUGGGCUAGCACUGACGCUCAGGCACGAAAGCGUGGGGAGCAAACAGG
RNAcentral lists this ribosomal RNA (253 nucleotides) under uncultured bacterium. Its description in RNAcentral is "partial 16S ribosomal RNA". It matches the Rfam family "Bacterial small subunit ribosomal RNA", at positions 524 to 776 of the family's 1533-position model. The record is from RNAcentral.